RNAcentral lists this ribosomal RNA (442 nucleotides) under uncultured bacterium. RNAcentral describes it as "partial 16S ribosomal RNA". It matches the Rfam family "Bacterial small subunit ribosomal RNA", at positions 338 to 795 of the family's 1533-position model. The record is from RNAcentral.
CCUACGGGAGGCAGCAGUGGGGAAUAUUGGGCAAUGGGCGCAAGCCUGACCCAGCAACGCCGCGUGAAGGAAGAAGGCUUUCGGGUUGUAAACUUCUUUUAAGAGGGAAGAGCAGAAGACGGUACCUCUUGAAUAAGCCACGGCUAACUACGUGCCAGCAGCCGCGGUAAUACGUAGGUGGCAAGCGUUGUCCGGAUUUACUGGGUGUAAAGGGCGUGUAGCCGGGCUGACAAGUCAGAUGUGAAAUCCGGGGGCUCAACCCCCGAACUGCAUUUGAAACUGUUGGUCUUGAGUAUCGGAGAGGCAGGCGGAAUUCCUAGUGUAGCGGUGAAAUGCAUAGAUAUCACGCAGAACCCCGAUUGCGAAGGCAGCCUUCCGGCGCCCUACUGACGCUGAGGCACGAAAGUGCGGGGAUCGAACAGGAUUAGAUACCCUGGUAGUC